Sinocyclocheilus grahami is the source of this 680-nucleotide long non-coding RNA. RefSeq lists it as uncharacterized. The record is from RefSeq and is a predicted model, not a curated record. The transcript has 3 exons. Lineage: Eukaryota; Metazoa; Chordata; Actinopteri; Cypriniformes; Cyprinidae.
GUUGCUUUAACAAAGUCAAUGUCACAAUGUAACAAAACAAACAAACAAACCUUAGAUGGUUUUGGAUACCAGGCCAUAUUCCAGAUCAACUAAUUAUAACUUGCCCCACACUCCACCUAAUUUAAUACAUUCAUUGCAAUACCAUGUAAUGCCACUAGGGAGCAGCACAGACAAAGGAAUAUCCUCCUGCGUUUAAAAACAAUCUCAUCUGACCGCCUCUGUCAAGACGUGAAACUUGUCAUGAAACACAAAUUAGAAGCUAACAGAGAAAAUAACACUUUCAAAAAACAAUGAUACAUUUACACAACAAGGAGCAACAUGAUCCCAGUGAAGCAUAAACACAAGAUCCACCAAUUAGUCUUCACAUAAAAACCUGAAAUGAAGCGACUGAAGACAUGAAGGGUGCAGGACGUCCUCUUUAAUGGAGGCCCAAGCCAUGCGUGGUGUGGUGAAGCUGGCGGCCUAGUCCCCCGUGGAGGACACAACAAUAGCUCCUCCGCAUCCCUUCACUCUCUCUCCCAUGUACUGAAGUGUGGCUGAUUUCCCUGCUUUUCACAAAGAAAACACUCAAGUAUGUGGCAGUGUCAGCAAAGUUAGCAGUAGAAGUUUAUUUGGCUGGCAACAGCUGACCAUGUAUUUUUGCUGUACUUCCUCAGAAACAUUUCCGGUUAGAGUUGCAC